UAAUCUAGAUAUUUUCAAGCAGAGAUUGGAUGACAAAUUAUCAGAGAUUUUAUAGAAGAGAUUCCUGAUCAGGAAAGGGCUAUCUAUAUUCACAGUGUCUUUUUGGAAUAGUGGACCACUUGCCCUGCUGGCUUUGCAACCAGUAAGUAUACAGAAUGGAUAAGAGUCAACAGGUAUUUAAUAAAUACUUUUUAAGUGAUUCA
RNAcentral lists this long non-coding RNA (203 nucleotides) under Monodelphis domestica (gray short-tailed opossum). RNAcentral's name for it is "lncRNA (ENSMODG00000050344.1)". Lineage: Eukaryota; Metazoa; Chordata; Mammalia; Didelphimorphia; Didelphidae. The record is from RNAcentral.